CCAAGAGAUCCCAGCAGCUUUGGCCAGGGUGACUCCUGUACUGGAAAUAUAAGAGGAAACCAAAUAGCCAAUCUGCCAGGAAUAUCUGACAGACCCAGUGACCAUAGACUGUGGGCACAACCUCUGUUGAGGCUGCAUCACUCAGUACUUGGAGAAACGGGCAGGUGGGGCAUAUGACCCCUUGUGCUGCCCCAGCUGCAGAGCCCGGAUUUGGAAAGGGACUCUCUGAAAUAACUAUCAGCUAACAAAUAUAGUGGAAAAAAUCAAACCACUGGAAUUCAAACCAGGAAAAGAGAAUCUGUGUGAGAGACACGACGAAGGCCUGGAUCUGUUCUGUGAAGAGGCCGGGGACGCCGUUGCUAGAGAUCCCCGGAGCACAGAUAUCACACGGUGCUUCUCCUGGACGAGGCUGCCCAGGAAAAUAAGGACAUCAGAAGCACCUUGAGCAGGUGUGAGAAGGGGAAGUUCCAGCAGCCAGAGGAGAUUUCUCCUGAACUGGAAAAGAGACUCAGCGAUUUCUCCCAGAAACCUGUUGCUCCAAUGGCGACUCCGAGGGAAUCCGAAGACACACUGUCCUCUGAACUGGAGACCCAAACUUGGGAAUCCCUAGGAGCACACACACAGGAGAAUGUGACUCUGGAUCCAGACACGGCUCAUCCCCAACUCAUCCUGUCUGAGAAUCGGAAAAGUGUGAGCUGGGGAAACACACGGCAGCAACUGCCCAGCAACUUUCAGAGAUUUGAUUCUUGGGGCUACGUGCUGUGCUGUGAGGGGUUCACCUCGGGGAGACAUUGCUGGGAGGUGGAAGUGGGGCCUGGGGGAUACUGGGCCGUGGGGGUGGCUAGAGAGAAUGUGGCCAGGGGAGAAAAAAUCCUCCGUAGCCCUGAUGACGGGAUCUGGGCUGUGGAGCUGUGGGGGAAUCAAUUCUGGGCUCUCACCUCCCAUGAAACCCCCCUGCCCCUGAGCCAGGUCCCCAAGAGGAUCCGGGUUUGUCUGGACUGUGACCAGGGGCAGGUGACCUUUAUCGAUGCUCAUAACAAGGCCCCGAUCUUCACUUUCCCGCCGGGAUCCAUCCCUGGGAAGAGAAUCCAACCCUGGCUCCGGGUGGGGUCGGGAACCCAGCUCAGACUGUGGCCCUGAGGGAUGCGAGGGUGCGGGUGGGGGCUCAGUGGGGGCCAGUGGCGGAUUAAUGAUUUUGCCGCCCCUAGGCCCAGAAAUAAUUGCUGCCCCAGGCCCUAUAUUAACUUGUUUUAGUCUUUUUACAAAUUUGUUUGAACUAAAAUAAAUCUAAAUAUCACUACUAUUCUCAACUAUUUUUUCUGUCUCACUAACUGAUUAAAAAAAAAUCUAUUUUGCACGUUUGCUAUCAUUUCAUUGUACCUUUCUUUCUUUUGUAUAGCAUUUUCUUUUAACUGAGAACCGCUUAAUUUCUUCCUUCCGGUCAUAUUAGUAAUGUUUAGGAUUCUCGCGAGUAUGUUUACUAAAUGGCGCCGCGCCGUCAUCGAUGGUUUCAAUACGUGUUAUGAUUGGUAGAAUCGUAGCGUCAAUGAUGCCGCGAUUACAAAAAUGCUGCUAUUAUAAAUUUGCCGCCCUAGGCCUAGGCCUUGUCAGCCUAGGCGAUAAUACGCCACUGGUUAGAGUGACCAGACAGCAAAUUUGAAAAAUCAG
Molecule: RNA transcript, 1668 nt
Organism: Chrysemys picta bellii (western painted turtle)
Lineage: Eukaryota; Metazoa; Chordata; Testudines; Emydidae
Gene name: E3 ubiquitin-protein ligase TRIM15-like
Source: RefSeq, a predicted model, not a curated record